UUGUAAAAAAAUUAUUUUAACUGCAAAAUCUUAUUUUUAAGAUGGUAAAUAAAAGCUUUUACUAUUACAAAAUGUAUUUUUAUUAAUUUUUCUUGUAUUUCUUUGAGCUCAAACAUGGCUUAUAUUUACUAGUUUUAUGUGUAUUUACAUUUACAUAAUCAUUUUUCUGAAUUGAAUUUUUUUAUUAUUAAUAUUACAAUACAAUUUAAUUAUUAUAAUACGAGUAGGGUCAAGAGGGGUAAAUGUGAAUAGUGGUAAUUGUAAAUGAGGCACCGAUAAUCAAUGUGUCCACAUUGCGACGGGAUGUAUUUAUUACAUGUUUUGUUCGUAUUUGUUCCGUAUUAUCGAGUAGUGGAAAUUCUCAAUAGAUUAUUUAUUUUUAAAACUUAAUUGCACAGAAGGUGGCAGAUCCAUAUAAUCCCAAUUCCACAAUAUUAUAUCGAUUAUAACAUUGCAUUUACGAUAAAACGAUAUUUUGAAAAAAAUACAAGUCCAAAAAAAAAUUAUAACGUUCAUAAUCGCGUGGGGGUCAAUAUGACCCAUUUCAACUUUGAUGGAUAUUUUUAAGUCAUACAUUUUUUUUUCGAAAGUAUUUAUUUAUGAAAAUCUAUUCAAUAUUACUAUAAAAACCAUCUUCUAAAUUUAUAUCUAUGUACACCUUUUAUGCAAUAUAAUACAUCCGUUUUUAUUUAUGUGGGGGUAUACUAGACCCCCACGCGACUGUUAAAGGGUUAAUAGAUUGUUCCAAUUAGUUGCCAUAAUUUAAUAUCAAUAAAUAUUAUAUUAUGAUAUUCUUUAAUUAUUAACUGAAUUUUAAAAACUUUACUUCAAAUAAAUGCUACUCAAAAACAAUAUAAUUAAUACCUGUAGAGGCUUAAGUCGUGUGCCGCGCUCUAUGCGCGAAGCCUGCACCUAUACCUAGACCGGUCACAUGGCCUUUCACACGCACUCUCCCACUGUAAAAUAGGUUAAGAUAGUUUUUAAGUUGUAAAUAAGUCAGUGUAUGUUUAACAUUGAGUGAGAUGUUUUUAGGUGUUCUUGCAGCUGGUCUAUGUACGCACAUAUCAGCGGUACUAAGAUAAACUGGAAAAUGAUGAGAAGUUUAAGUGUAUGAUAUCUUUAAGCGCAAAUGAUUGUGGUCGAUAUUAUAAAAGAGUUUAUCAAAAAGCAAGUUUGAGAAAACAUUUGUUGUUGUAAAGAUGUGGUUAAGAAAAAAAGUUUAAAUAUCAUAAACGAUUUACAGACAAUUGGAGGAAGAAAAAAUAUUCAUUGAAUAUGCAUAACUUAGUUUAAUCACCUUUUUUUAGAUACAAAAUAUAUUUAUAGAUACAAUAGUAUUUCUUUUGUUACAAGAAUUUCAGUUUUUUUACAUUAUAUGUUUUAUAUAAAUAUAAGUAUGAAAUUUAAAUGAGUUGAAUUAACACACAAAUAUUCUGUAAAAAAAAAUUUAGAAUAGAAUUUUAUAUUUUUUAAAUUUGUAACAAUUCUUAGUUUAAUACGUUUUAACGUUAAUUAUUAUCA
Molecule: long non-coding RNA, 1521 nt
Organism: Daktulosphaira vitifoliae (grape phylloxera)
Lineage: Eukaryota; Metazoa; Arthropoda; Insecta; Hemiptera; Phylloxeridae
Exons: 3
Source: RefSeq, a predicted model, not a curated record